RNAcentral lists this ribosomal RNA (233 nucleotides) under uncultured bacterium. Its description in RNAcentral is "partial 16S ribosomal RNA". It matches the Rfam family "Bacterial small subunit ribosomal RNA", at positions 103 to 334 of the family's 1533-position model. The record is from RNAcentral.
CGGGUGAGUAACGCGUGAGGAACCUGCCUCAAAGAGGGGGACAACAGUUGGAAACGACUGCUAAUACCGCAUAAGCCCACGGGUCGGCAUCGACCAGAGGGAAAAGGAGCAAUCCGCUUUGAGAUGGCCUCGCGUCCGAUUAGCUAGUUGGUGAGAUAAUGGCCCACCAAGGCAACGAUCGGUAGCCGGACUGAGAGGUUGAACGGCCACAUUGGGACUGAGACACGGCCCAG